ACUCCUACGGGAGGCAGCAGUGGGGAAUAUUGCACAAUGGGCGCAAGCCUGAUGCAGCCAUGCCGCGUGUGUGAAGAAGGCCUUCGGGUUGUAAAGCACUUUCAGUCGUGAGGAAGGUAGUGUAGUUAAUAGCUGCAUUAUUUGACGUUAGCGACAGAAGAAGCACCGGCUAACUCCGUGCCAGCAGCCGCGGUAAUACGGAGGGUGCGAGCGUUAAUCGGAAUUACUGGGCGUAAAGCGCAUGCAGGUGGUUUGUUAAGUCAGAUGUGAAAGCCCGGGGCUCAACCUCGGAAUAGCAUUUGAAACUGGCAGACUAGAGUACUGUAGAGGGGGGUAGAAUUUCAGGUGUAGCGGUGAAAUGCGUAGAGAUCUGAAGGAUACCGGUGGCGAAGGCGGCCCCCUGGACAGAUACUGACACUCAGAUGCGAAAGCGUGGGGGAGCAAACAGGAUUAGAUACCCUGGUAGGAUAGCG
Molecule: ribosomal RNA, 473 nt
Filed under: uncultured bacterium
Lineage: Bacteria
Description: bacterial SSU rRNA
Rfam family: Bacterial small subunit ribosomal RNA
Source: RNAcentral